Molecule: ribosomal RNA, 633 nt
Filed under: Triticum aestivum (bread wheat)
Lineage: Eukaryota; Viridiplantae; Streptophyta; Magnoliopsida; Poales; Poaceae
Description: partial small subunit ribosomal RNA
Source: RNAcentral
AUGGAGAAAGAUGUUGAUGAAGCGAGGAAAAUUGCUCGUAUGGCCAAAACAAAACUUGAUAAACUCGAAGAAGAUAACUUAUCUAACAAGCAGAAACCUGGACGCGGGAAGGGCUCUACGGUAGAUCAAUUAAGGGAACAGACCGCUGGAGCAGUGAAGAAUAAUUUGAAGGAACAGAUCGAUGAUUUUCAGAUUAUUGAUGCUGUAAGAGAUCUAGAGAAGAAGCUUCUAGAGUUGCAGCAGAUGUUCCUGGAUAUGGCAGUAUUGGUUAAGGCUCAAGGAGACAUGAUUGACCACAUAGAGCCACAUGUUUCAAAUGCUACCAACUACAUACAACAUAGUUUGGAUGCCCUCCAGAAGGCAAAGACGUUGCAGAAGAACUCGAGAAAGUGGAUGUGCUACGCCAUAAUCGCUCUCCUGGUGAUAGUGAUAGUUGUUAUCGUCAUGCUCGUGGUUGUCAAGGCAGUGAAGAAUUCUGUGACCGAUUCACACACUCUUCUACUAUCGCUGUAUGGCUAUGAUGAACCGGACAAGUCGACAUUGGUCGCCCAUAUAUAUACUGGAGGCUCCUGCUAUUGGUUCGUGUUUGUCCUCCUAGUAUUUUUAGUGGUCAAACCGAAAUGUGCGUCCUGA